Molecule: ribosomal RNA, 253 nt
Filed under: uncultured bacterium
Lineage: Bacteria
Description: partial 16S ribosomal RNA
Rfam family: Bacterial small subunit ribosomal RNA
Source: RNAcentral
UACAGAGGUGGCAAGCGUUGUUCGGAAUUACUGGGCGUAAAGGGCGCGUAGGCGGCCUGCUAAGUCAGACGUGAAAUCCCCCGGCUUAACCUGGGAACUGCGUCUGAUACUGGGAGGCUUGAGUAUGGGAGAGGGAUGUAGAAUUCCAGGUGUAGCGGCGAAAUGCGUAGACAUCUGGAGGAAUACCGGUGGCGAAGGCGGCAUCCUGGACCAUAACUGACGCUGAGGCGCGAAAGCUAGGGGAGCAAACGGG